RNAcentral lists this ribosomal RNA (465 nucleotides) under uncultured bacterium. RNAcentral's name for it is "bacterial SSU rRNA". It matches the Rfam family "Bacterial small subunit ribosomal RNA", at positions 28 to 507 of the family's 1533-position model. The record is from RNAcentral.
GACGAAUGCUGGCUGCGUGCUUAACACAUGCAAGUCGAACGGUGAACAGGGGCUUGCCCCUGGGAUCAGUGGCGAACGGGUGAGUAACACGUGGGCAACCUGCCCCUCACUCUGGGAUAACUCCGGGAAACCGGGGCUAAUACCGGAUACGACCAGGCGCGACAUCGGGUCUGGUGGAAAGAACUUCGGUGAGGGAUGGGCCCGCGGCCUAUCAGCUAGUUGGUGAGGUAACGGCUCACCAAGGCGACGACGGGUAGCCGGCCUGAGAGGGCGACCGGCCACACUGGGACUGAGACACGGCCCAGACUCCUACGGGAGGCAGCAGUGGGGAAUAUUGCGCAAUGGGCGAAAGCCUGACGCAGCGACGCAGCGUGAGGGACGACGGCCUUCGGGUUGUAAACCUCUUUCAGCGGGGACGAAGCGAAAGUGACGGUACCCGCAGAAGAAGCACCGGCUAACUACGUG